CGGGACGGGUGAGUAAUGUCUGGGAAACUGCCCGAUGGAGGGGGAUAACUACUGGAAACGGUAGCUAAUACCGCAUAACGUCGCAAGACAAAGAGGGGGACCUUAGGGCCUCUUGCCAUCGGAUGUGCCCAGAUGGGAUUAGCUAGUAGGUGGGGUAAUGGCUCACCUAGGCGACGAUCCCUAGCUGGUCUGAGAGGAUGACCAGCCACACUGGAACUGAGACACGGUCCAG
RNAcentral lists this ribosomal RNA (232 nucleotides) under uncultured bacterium. RNAcentral describes it as "partial 16S ribosomal RNA". It matches the Rfam family "Bacterial small subunit ribosomal RNA", at positions 100 to 334 of the family's 1533-position model. The record is from RNAcentral.